This 253-nucleotide ribosomal RNA is filed under the name uncultured bacterium. RNAcentral's name for it is "partial 16S ribosomal RNA". It matches the Rfam family "Bacterial small subunit ribosomal RNA", at positions 524 to 776 of the family's 1533-position model. The record is from RNAcentral.
UACGGAGGGUGCGAGCGUUGUCCGGAAUCAUUGGGCGUAAAGAGCGUGUAGGCGGCCAUACAGGUCAGCUGUGAAAACUCGAGGCUCAACCUCGAGACGUCGGUUGAAGCCGUAUGGCUAGAGUCCGGAAGAGGAGAGUGGAAUUCCCGGUGUAGCGGUGAAAUGCGCAGAUAUCGGGAAGAACACCCGUGGCGAAGGCGGCUCUCUGGGACGGUACUGACGCUGAGACGCGAAAGCCAGGGGAGCGAACGGG